Molecule: ribosomal RNA, 441 nt
Filed under: uncultured bacterium
Lineage: Bacteria
Description: partial 16S ribosomal RNA
Rfam family: Bacterial small subunit ribosomal RNA
Source: RNAcentral
CCUACGGGAGGCUGCAGUGGGGAAUAUUGCACAAUGGGGGAAACUCUGAUGCAGCGACGCCGCGUGAGUGAAGAAGUAUUUCGGUAUGUAAAGCUCUAUCAGCAGGAACGAGACAAGACGGUACCUGACUAAGAAGCCCCGGCUAACUACGUGCCAGCAGCCGCGGUAAUACGUAGGGGGCAAGCGUUAUCCGGAAUCACUGGGUGUAAAGGGAGCGUAGACGGCUGUGCAAGCCUGAAGUGAAAGGCGGGGGCCCAACCCCUGGACUGCUUUGGGAACUGUACGGCUGGAGUGCAGGAGAGGUAAGUGGAAUUCCUAGUGUAGCGGUGAAAUGCGUAGAUAUUAGGAGGAACACCAGUGGCGAAGGCGGCUUACUGGACUGUAACUGACGUUGAGGCUCGAAAGCGUGGGGAGCAAACAGGAUUAGAUACCCUGGUAGUC